Molecule: ribosomal RNA, 751 nt
Filed under: Nocardia sp.
Lineage: Bacteria; Bacillati; Actinomycetota; Actinomycetes; Mycobacteriales; Nocardiaceae
Description: bacterial SSU rRNA
Rfam family: Bacterial small subunit ribosomal RNA
Source: RNAcentral
GAGUAACACGUGGGUGAUCUGCCUUGCACUUCGGGAUAAGCCUGGGAAACUGGGUCUAAUACCGGAUAUGACCACNNNNNGCAUGNCUNGUGGUGGAAAGAUUUAUCGGUGCGAGAUGGGCCCGCGGCCUAUCAGCUUGUUGGUGAGGUAACGGCUCACCAAGGCGACGACGGGUAGCCGACCUGAGAGGGUGACCGGCCACACUGGGACUGAGACACGGCCCAGACUCCUACGGGAGGCAGCAGUGGGGAAUAUUGCACAAUGGGCGAAAGCCUGAUGCAGCGACGCCGCGUGCGGGAUGACGGCCUUCGGGUUGUAAACCGCUUUUGACAGGGACGAAGCGCAAGUGACUGUACCUGUAGAAUAAGGACCGGCCAACUACGUGCCAGCAGCCGCGGUAAUACGUAGGGUCCGAGCGUUGUCCGGAAUUACUGGGCGUAAAGAGCUUGUAGGCGGUUCGUCGCGUCGUUUGUGAAAACUUGGGGCUCAACCUUAAGCUUGCAGGCGAUACGGGCGGACUAGAGUACUUCAGGGGAGACUGGAAUUCCUGGUGUAGCGGUGAAAUGCGCAGAUAUCAGGAGGAACACCGGUGGCGAAGGCGGGUCUCUGGGAAGUAACUGACGCUGAGAAGCGAAAGCAUGGGUAGCAAACAGGAUUAGAUACCCUGGUAGUCCAUGCCGUAAACGGUGGGUACUAGGUGUGGGGCUCCUUCCACGGACUCCGUGCCGUAGCUAACGCAUUAAGUACCCCG